GAUGAACGCUGGCGGCGUGCCUAAUACAUGCAAGUCGAGCGAACAGAUAAGGAGCUUGCUCCUUUGACGUUAGCGGCGGACGGGUGAGUAACACGUGGGUAACCUACCUAUAAGACUGGAAUAACUCCGGGAAACCGGGGCUAAUGCCGGAUAACAUUUAGAACCGCAUGGUUCUAAAGUGAAAGAUGGUUUUGCUAUCACUUAUAGAUGGACCCGCGCCGUAUUAGCUAGUUGGUAAGGUAACGGCUUACCAAGGCAACGAUACGUAGCCGACCUGAGAGGGUGAUCGGCCACACUGGAACUGAGACACGGUCCAGACUCCUACGGGAGGCAGCAGUAGGGUAUCUUCCGCAAUGGGCGAAAGCCUGACGGAGCAACGCCGCGUGAGUGAUGAAGGUCUUCGGAUCGUAAAACUCUGUUAUUAGGGAAGAACAAAUGUGUAAGUAACUGUGCACGUCUUGACGGUACCUAAUCAGAAAGCCACGGCUAACUACGUG
Molecule: ribosomal RNA, 497 nt
Filed under: uncultured bacterium
Lineage: Bacteria
Description: partial 16S ribosomal RNA
Rfam family: Bacterial small subunit ribosomal RNA
Source: RNAcentral